UGCAUAUACAUCGAAAAUGGAACAAACGGAGGAUCAAAGUGUCGAGAACCAGCUGAAAGUUCUUCUAUGGUGGUGACACAGAUCGUCCCAAUUUUUAAAGAACUUUUACACCAUGUUUUAAAUUUUGUUUUGUUUUGUUUUUUUUUUAUUUUCUAUUCAUUUAUUUUAUUUUUAUUAGUCUUAGUUGUGUUUAGUUUUUUUUCUCCCACGACAGUUGUAGAUACCAUGGAGUGACAAAACCAAAAAAGAUAACAUCGAAGAAGCUAAAAAUGGGCUCGAUGUCAUGACAUCGCACCCUAAUAUCGUGACAUCCAAGACAGAAUGCCACUUCGCAACAUUGAAGGGCCAAGUUCAUCCAAAUAUUUUUGAACGUUCCGUCAUCCAUUAUUGACAUUUCUUCUUUUUCUUCUCAUUCUUAUUUUUUAUAUUAUAUUUCAUAUUUCU
RNAcentral lists this long non-coding RNA (444 nucleotides) under Gossypium raimondii (Peruvian cotton). Its description in RNAcentral is "long non-coding RNA (GRAI_LNC005364)". Lineage: Eukaryota; Viridiplantae; Streptophyta; Magnoliopsida; Malvales; Malvaceae. The record is from RNAcentral.